This 423-nucleotide ribosomal RNA is filed under the name uncultured bacterium. Its description in RNAcentral is "bacterial SSU rRNA". It matches the Rfam family "Bacterial small subunit ribosomal RNA", at positions 355 to 792 of the family's 1533-position model. The record is from RNAcentral.
UGGGGAAUAUUGGGCAAUGGGCGAAAGCCUGACCCAGCAACGCCGCGUGAAGGAAGAAGGUUUUCGGAUUGUAAACUUCUGUCCUUGGUGACGAAGGAAGUGACGGUAGCCAAGGAGGAAGCCCCGGCUAACUACGUGCCAGCAGCCGCGGUAAUACGUAGGGGGCGAGCGUUGUCCGGAAUGACUGGGCGUAAAGGGCGUGUAGGCGGCCUGAUAAGUAUGGAGUGAAAGUCCUGCUUUCAAGGUGGGAAUUGCUUUGUAGACUGUUAGGCUUGAGUGCGGAAGAGGUAAGUGGAAUUCCCAGUUUAGCGGUGAAAUGCGUAGAGAUUGGGAGGAACACCAGUGGCGAAGGCGACUUACUGGGCCGUAACUGACGCUGAGGCGCGAAAGCGUGGGGAGCGAACAGGAUUAGAUACCCUGGUA